AACGAACGCUGGCGGCAUGCCUAACACAUGCAAGUCGAACGAGACCUUCGGGUCUAGUGGCGCACGGGUGCGUAACGCGUGGGAACCUGCCCUUAGGUUCGGAAUAACUCCCCGAAAGGGGUGCUAAUACCGGAUAAUGUCUUCGGACCAAAGAUUUAUUGCCUUUGGAUGGGCCCGCGUUGGAUUCGCUAGUUGGUAGGGUAAAAGCCUACCAAGGCGACGAUCCAUAGCUGGUCUGAGAGGAUGAUCAGCCACACUGGGACUGAGACACGGCCCAGACUCCUACGGGAGGCAGCAGUGGGGAAUAUUGGACGAUGGGCGAAAGCCUGAUCCAGCAAUGCCGCGUGAGUGAUGAAGGCCUUAGGGUUGUAAAGCUCUUUUACCCGGGAUGAUAAUGACAGUACCGGGAGAAUAAGCUCCGGCUAACUCCGUG
This 433-nucleotide ribosomal RNA is filed under the name uncultured bacterium. RNAcentral describes it as "partial 16S ribosomal RNA". It matches the Rfam family "Bacterial small subunit ribosomal RNA", at positions 29 to 507 of the family's 1533-position model. The record is from RNAcentral.